AUAGGUUUGAUCCUGGCUCAGGACGAACGCUGGCGGCGUGCUUAACACAUGCAAGUCGAACGGAAAGGCCCUUCGGGGUGCUCGAGUGGCGAACGGGUGAGUAACACGUGGGUGAUCUGCCCUGCACUUUGGGAUAAGCCUGGGAAACUGGGUCUAAUACCGAAUAGGACCACGCGCUUCAUGGUGUGUGGUGGAAAGCUUUUGCGGUGUGGGAUGGGCCCGCGGCCUAUCAGCUUGUUGGUGGGGUAAUGGCCUACCAAGGCGACGACGGGUAGCCGGCCUGAGAGGGUGACCGGCCACACUGGGACUGAGAUACGGCCCAGACUCCUACGGGAGGCAGCAGUGGGGAAUAUUGCACAAUGGGCGCAAGCCUGAUGCAGCGACGCCGCGUGAGGGAUGACGGCCUUCGGGUUGUAAACCUCUUUCAAUAGGGACGAAGCGCAAGUGACGGUACCUAUAGAAGAAGCACCGGCCAACUACGUGCCAGCAGCCGCGGUAAUACGUAGGGUGCGAGCGUUGUCCGGAAUUACUGGGCGUAAAGAGCUCGUAGGUGGUUUGUCGCGUUGUUCGUGAAAACUCACAGCUUAACUGUGGGCGUGCGGGCGAUACGGGCAGACUAGAGUACUGCAGGGGAGACUGGAAUUCCUGGUGUAGCGGUGGAAUGCGCAGAUAUCAGGAGGAACACCGGUGGCGAAGGCGGGUCUCUGGGCAGUAACUGACGCUGAGGAGCGAAAGCGUGGGGAGCGAACAGGAUUAGAUACCCUGGUAGUCCACGCCGUAAACGGUGGGUACUAGGUGUGGGUUCCUUCCUUGGGAUCCGUGCCGUAGCUAACGCAUUAAGUACCCCGCCUGGGGAGUACGGCCGCAAGGCUAAAACUCAAAGGAAUUGACGGGGGCCCGCACAAGCGGCGGAGCAUGUGGAUUAAUUCGAUGCAACGCGAAGAACCUUACCUGGGUUUGACAUGCACAGGACGCCGGCAGAGAUGUCGGUUCCCUUGUGGCCUGUGUGCAGGUGGUGCAUGGCUGUCGUCAGCUCGUGUCGUGAGAUGUUGGGUUAAGUCCCGCAACGAGCGCAACCCUUGUCCUAUGUUGCCAGCGGGUUAUGCCGGGGACUCGUAGGAGACUGCCGGGGUCAACUCGGAGGAAGGUGGGGAUGACGUCAAGUCAUCAUGCCCCUUAUGUCCAGGGCUUCACACAUGCUACAAUGGCCGGUACAAAGGGCUGCGAUGCCGUGAGGUGGAGCGAAUCCUUUCAAAGCCGGUCUCAGUUCGGAUCGGGGUCUGCAACUCGACCCCGUGAAGUCGGAGUCGCUAGUAAUCGCAGAUCAGCAACGCUGCGGUGAAUACGUUCCCGGGCCUUGUACACACCGCCCGUCACGUCAUGAAAGUCGGUAACACCCGAAGCCGGUGGCCUAACCCUUGUGGAGGGAGCCGUCGAAGGUGGGAUCGGCGAUUGGGACGAAGUCGUAACAAGGUAGCCGUAAAU
This 1485-nucleotide ribosomal RNA is filed under the name Mycobacteroides chelonae. RNAcentral's name for it is "bacterial SSU rRNA". It matches the Rfam family "Bacterial small subunit ribosomal RNA". Lineage: Bacteria; Bacillati; Actinomycetota; Actinomycetes; Mycobacteriales; Mycobacteriaceae. The record is from RNAcentral.